AACGAACGCUGGCGGCAUGCCUAACACAUGCAAGUCGAACGAGACCUUCGGGUCUAGUGGCGCACGGGUGCGUAACGCGUGGGAACCUGCCCUUAGGUUCGGAAUAACUCCCCGAAAGGGGUGCUAAUACCGGAUAGUGUCUUCGGACCAAAGAUUUAUCGCCUUUGGAUGGGCCCGCGUUGGAUUAGCUAGUUGGUAGGGUAAAAGCCUACCAAGGCGACGAUCCAUAGCUGGUCUGAGAGGAUGAUCAGCCACACUGGGACUGAGACACGGCCCAGACUCCUACGGGAGGCAGCAGUGGGGAAUAUUGGACAAUGGGCGAAAGCCUGAUCCAGCAAUGCCGCGUGAGUGAUGAAGGCCUUAGGGUUGUAAAGCUCUUUUACCCGGGAUGAUAAUGACAGUACCGGGAGUAUAAGCUCCGGCUAACUCCGUG
Molecule: ribosomal RNA, 433 nt
Filed under: uncultured bacterium
Lineage: Bacteria
Description: partial 16S ribosomal RNA
Rfam family: Bacterial small subunit ribosomal RNA
Source: RNAcentral